AAACAUGUCUUUAUGAUAAUAAUUUAAAGUYUAAUCUGCUCAAUGAUUAAUUAAUAAUUAAAUAGCUGCGGUAAAUUGACCGUACAAAGGUAGCAUAAUCAAUAGUUUUUUAAUUGAAAGCUGGAAUGAAAGAUUUGAUGAAAUAAAUUUUGUCUCAAAUUUUAUAAAAUUAGAAUUUUUUUUUUAGUAAAAAUACUAAAAUUAUUUUAAAAGACGAGAAGACCCUAUAGAUUUUAAUAAUUUUAUUUAUUAAAAAAAAAUUGGUAAUUAAAAUUAUUUGGUUGGGGAAAUUAUUAAAUUUAAUUAAUUUUAAUUAAUUAAUACAAUAAUAAUUGAAUUUAUGAUCUUAAAAUUUUGGAUAAAUAGAAUAAAAUACCUUAGGGAUAACAGCGUAAUUUUUUUGGAUAGGUCUUAUUAAUAAAAAAGUUUGCGACCUCGAUGUUGAAUUAAGAUAAAAUUUUAAUGAARAAGUUAUAAAUUUUUAGUCUGUUCGACUAUUAAAAUCUUACGUGAUCUG
This 517-nucleotide ribosomal RNA is filed under the name Vulgichneumon terminalis. Its description in RNAcentral is "partial 16S large subunit ribosomal RNA". The stretch from base 383 to 517 matches the Rfam family "Archaeal large subunit ribosomal RNA", at positions 2544 to 2678 of the family's 2987-position model. The record is from RNAcentral. Lineage: Eukaryota; Metazoa; Arthropoda; Insecta; Hymenoptera; Ichneumonidae.